CCCCACUGUGCUUCCUGUCCUUCCUCAUAAACCUGAUACACUUUAUUCGAGACCCACCUCCUAUAGCCAAUGAAGUAUUCAAUUGCAUGAACUGUGGACGGAAAAUUGUUGCUGGAAGAUUUGCUCCUCAUUUGGAAACAUGCUUGGGGAAGAUGAUCUAUCAAAUGAGUAUAUUAUGCCGACAUUUGUUUGUGAUUUCUGGUCUUAUGACCUCUAGUCCUUUUUCGUCUUCCAUUUGGAAAAUGAUGUAACAGGGCAUGAAGACUCGUAAGGCUACGAGAAACACAACAGGUGCAUAGAAUUGGUACUCACGAGGCAGCCUUAAUCCGAAUAAUUCUUCUUAUUCAAAUUCUGCAUGCUUAAACUGGUUACCGGGUGGUCACCCGGUAUUGCAUGUAAGGGAAAUUCAAAUGGCAUUUUCUGAGAUAAUGUGAAAGAAUAAUGAAGCUGAAUCUAUGACAGGUUUAUAGUUUAUACAACAACAACAUCAGCAUCGCCUUAAUCCUAAGUUUAUUUGGGGUUGGCUUGAAUUCUUUGUUUCCACUCAUUUCGGUUUGAAGUUAAAUCUUCUUAAAUUUGCAACACUUACAAAUCAUUCCUAAUGACUCGUUCCCAAGUAAGACUAGGUCUACCUCUCCAUUUCUUUUCACCUCAUCCCUAUGUUCUCCACUUUUCUAACGGGAGCAUGUAUCGACCUAUGUUGUACAUGUUCAAACCAUAUUAAACGUCUCUCUCGUAACUUAUCCUCUACACCUAUUACUUUCUCUCUAGUACUCUCAUUUCUAAUUCUAUCCAUUCUUGUAUGUCCGCACAUCUAUCGCAACAUAUUCAUAUCGACCUGAUAAGUGUCCCACAUUGGAAAAUGAGAGGGAUUUGGGCCAAUAUAUAAGUAAGGGUCAAACCUCCACUCUUAAGCUAGCUUUUGUGGUGGAGUUAGGACCUAAACCUUAUUAAUUGGUAUAAGAGCCUGGUUCUCUACUUUCCGGUGGACCUUUGACGGGCCGUUCUCCUGCGGACAUGCGGACGACUCGGUGGUUGUGGGACGGUCGGGGAUGGACCGAGAAGCCGCCAGUGACCGAGAAGCCGCCAUUGACCGAGAAGCCGCCAGCGACCAGAUUUGCCCCAACGCCGUGGACGUCGCUGUCUAAAGGGGGCGGUAUUGAUAAGUGUCCCACAUUGGAAAAUGAGAGGGAUUUGGGCCAAUAUAUAAGUAAGGGUCAAACCUCCACUCUUAAGCUAGCUUUUGUGGUGGAGUUAGGGCCUAAACCUUAUUAAUUGGUAUCAGAGCCUAACUCUCUACUUUCCGAUGGGCCUUUGACGGGCCGUUCUCCUGCGGACAUGCGGGCGACUCGGUGGUUGUGGGACGGUCGGGAGACGAACGGUCGGGAGAGGAAUGGUCAGGAGAGGAACGGUCGGGGAUGGACCGAGAAGCCGCCAGUGACCGAGAAGCCGCCAUCGACCAAGAAGCCACCAGCGACCAGAUUUGCCCCAGCGCCGUGGACGUCGCUGUCUAAAGAAGAGGGAGGACGAAGAACAGCAAAAAAAAGGUCCUUGAGGGUUCAUUUUAAAUUAAUCACCGGGUUAACAUCUACGGAAUUUAAUAUGCACAUGGAACUGAGAUGAUGGGCUUCUUCUCAGGCAUUGGUGAUUUUCUGCAGUUGGUAUACACAUACAUAAUGUCUCAGAUGCUAUGUAUAUUCAGAGAGACCCAUAGAGGUAUUUGUCUUUGUCUAGCAUCUCCAAUCAAACAGUUCCCAGUGUUGAGAAAUGACUGUUAGAAGGCUUUGGAGCAACAGAGAGGGAUAAGCUUCCCACUUCUGCCAAUGCCAACUCCUGCAUUGCAGAGCGUCUCACAGUUUCUUGUCCUCGGCCUCAGGACAUCCAAUGUUUCUAUGCGUCCCUGGACGCGUCAGGGGAACAAAGGGGCGCUUCAUGUCUGAUCUAGUUUGUUGUCAUUAGCAUCUGUAUCAUCAACACCAUGAAUUCCUCCAUGUGCGUAUCUCUAUCCAACGCAACAAUAUAAGGAACAUAUCCAUUAAUCU
Molecule: RNA transcript, 2042 nt
Organism: Tarenaya hassleriana
Lineage: Eukaryota; Viridiplantae; Streptophyta; Magnoliopsida; Brassicales; Cleomaceae
Exons: 2
Source: RefSeq, a predicted model, not a curated record